UUCUAUGGCGGGCGGUGUGCGGAGGCCUUCGGGCCUGCCGGUGACUCCUACCGGUCUGUCAACCGCGCACCGUCCGCCACCCCG
RNAcentral lists this non-coding RNA (84 nucleotides) under Xanthomonas citri pv. citri. The record is from RNAcentral. Lineage: Bacteria; Pseudomonadati; Pseudomonadota; Gammaproteobacteria; Lysobacterales; Lysobacteraceae.